This 363-nucleotide long non-coding RNA is filed under the name Jatropha curcas. Its description in RNAcentral is "long non-coding RNA (JCUR_LNC002414)". The record is from RNAcentral. Lineage: Eukaryota; Viridiplantae; Streptophyta; Magnoliopsida; Malpighiales; Euphorbiaceae.
UCACAGCUUGCUCAAAUAAAAGAGAAACCUGUUGUUUAUGGUGAUUCAAAUGACCAAUCUAAUGAUGCUAAGACUGUUGAUUCUCAAACAAUAAGCAAGAUGAAGCUUGCUGAAUUUGAGAAGAGGCCUCCUAGGCAGCCUAGGCCACCUCCUAAACCAUCUGGUGUUGCUCCAGUUGGUGCAAAUACCACUCCUUCAAGUGGAGUGCCGCCACCACCUCCUCCACCAGGUGCACCACUACCACCACCACCACUGGGUGGACCACCUCGUCCUCCUCCUCCACCUGGAAGCUUGCCAAGAGGGGCAGGAAGUGGUGAUAAAGUUCACAGAGCUCCUGAACUAGUUGAAUUCUAUCAGACAUUG